CCUACGGGUGGCAGCAGUGAGGAAUAUUGGUCAAUGGCCGGGAGACUGAACCAGCCAAGCCGCGUGAAGGACGAAGGUACCAAGCAUUGUAAACUUCUUUUGUCAGGGGACAAAAUCAGGCUCGAGAGCCUGACCGAGGGUACUUGAAGAAAAAGCAUCGGCUAACUCCGUGCCAGCAGCCGCGGUAAUACGGAGGAUGCGAGCGUUAUCCGGAUUUAUUGGGUUUAAAGGGUGCGUAGGCGGACUGUUAAGUCAGCGGUAAAAGCCCGGGGCUCAACCCCGGCGAGCCGUUGAAACUGGCUGUCUUGAGAUGGCGAGAGGUAUGCGGAAUGCGCAGUGUAGCGGUGAAAUGCGUAGAUAUCGCGCAGAACUCCGAUUGCGAAGGCAGCAUGCCGGCGGCGAGCUGACGCUGAGGCACGAAAGCGUGGGUAUCGAACAGGAUUAGAUACCCCAGUAGUC
RNAcentral lists this ribosomal RNA (459 nucleotides) under uncultured bacterium. RNAcentral describes it as "partial 16S ribosomal RNA". It matches the Rfam family "Bacterial small subunit ribosomal RNA", at positions 338 to 795 of the family's 1533-position model. The record is from RNAcentral.